GGGGGGGCUCGGCCUCCACUGCGAAGAAAUAACAAUGAGCCCUUCCGCCCCAGAGAGGGGCUUCAGUUACCACAGGACAACCCAAGAUAUAAAGCCCAUGGCAUAUCCAGUAACCAGGAAAACAAGCAUUCUCACGACCCAGCCGAACUCCUAACCAUCAACCUGAAACUCCAGCUUUAUCAAGACUCAUAAGAAUCUGCAGGCGAAGGGAGGCCAGGACCCUUGCGGUAUUCCAGCUCCACCCCAGUGCCAAGCUCAUUCCAGGAGUGGAGUAACCACUUGUUGAUUGAUUACUAUACCGACAAGAGCCCUGAAAGAGCGUGAACAAACAGGUAGGCCAGAAAACAUCUGGGUUUUGCCCAGAAAUGUUCCUCUCUAAAUGAAUGAAUCAGAAU
RNAcentral lists this long non-coding RNA (395 nucleotides) under Aotus nancymaae (Ma's night monkey). RNAcentral's name for it is "lncRNA (ENSANAG00000038652.1)". Lineage: Eukaryota; Metazoa; Chordata; Mammalia; Primates; Aotidae. The record is from RNAcentral.